AGAAGCCGAUGAAGGACGUUACUAACGACGAUAUGCUUUGGGGAGCUGUAAGUAAGCUUUGAUCCAGAGAUUUCCGAAUGGGGAAACCCAGCAUGAGUUAUGUCAUGUUAUCGAUAUGUGAAUACAUAGCAUAUCAGAAGGCACACCCGGAGAACUGAAACAUCUUAGUACCCGGAGGAAGAGAAAGAAAAUUCGAUUCCCUUAGUAGCGGCGAGCGAAACGGGAAGAGCCCAAACCAACAAGCUUGCUUGUUGGGGUUGUAGGACACUCUAUACGGAGUUACAAAGGACGACAUUAGACGAAUCAUCUGGAAAGAUGAAUCAAAGAAGGUAAUAAUCCUGUAGUCGAAAAUGUUGUCUCUCUUGAGUGGAUCCUGAGUACGACGGAGCACGUGAAAUUCCGUCGGAAUCUGGGAGGACCAUCUCCUAAGGCUAAAUACUCUCUAGUGACCGAUAGUGAACCAGUACCGUGAGGGAAAGGUGAAAAGCACCCCGGAAGGGGAGUGAAAUAGAACCUGAAACCGUGUGCUUACAAGUAGUCAGAGCCCGUUAAUGGGUGAUGGCGUGCCUUUUGUAGAAUGAACCGGCGAGUUACGAUUUGAUGCAAGGUUAAGCAGUAAAUGUGGAGCCGUAGCGAAAGCGAGUCUGAAUAGGGCGUUUAGUAUUUGGUCGUAGACCCGAAACCAGGUGAUCUACCCUUGGUCAGGUUGAAGUUCAGGUAACACUGAAUGGAGGACCGAACCGACUUACGUUGAAAAGUGAGCGGAUGAACUGAGGGUAGCGGAGAAAUUCCAAUCGAACCUGGAGAUAGCUGGUUCUCUCCGAAAUAGCUUUAGGGCUAGCCUCAAGUGAUGAUUAUUGGAGGUAGAGCACUGUUUGGACGAGGGGCCCCUCUCGGGUUACCGAAUUCAGACAAACUCCGAAUGCCAAUUAAUUUAACUUGGGAGUCAGAACAUGGGUGAUAAGGUCCGUGUUCGAAAGGGAAACAGCCCAGACCACCAGCUAAGGUCCCAAAAUAUAUGUUAAGUGGAAAAGGAUGUGGCGUUGCCCAGACAACUAGGAUGUUGGCUUAGAAGCAGCCAUCAUUUAAAGAGUGCGUAAUAGCUCACUAGUCGAGUGACACUGCGCCGAAAAUGUACCGGGGCUAAACAUAUUACCGAAGCUGUGGAUUGUCCUUUGGACAAUGGUAGGAGAGCGUUCUAAGGGCGUUGAAGCAUGAUCGUAAGGACAUGUGGAGCGCUUAGAAGUGAGAAUGCCGGUGUGAGUAGCGAAAGACGGGUGAGAAUCCCGUCCACCGAUUGACUAAGGUUUCCAGAGGAAGGCUCGUCCGCUCUGGGUUAGUCGGGUCCUAAGCUGAGGCCGACAGGCGUAGGCGAUGGAUAACAGGUUGAUAUUCCUGUACCACCUAUA
Molecule: ribosomal RNA, 1409 nt
Filed under: Staphylococcus aureus
Lineage: Bacteria; Bacillati; Bacillota; Bacilli; Caryophanales; Staphylococcaceae
Description: partial 23S ribosomal RNA
Rfam family: Bacterial large subunit ribosomal RNA
Source: RNAcentral